This 408-nucleotide ribosomal RNA is filed under the name uncultured bacterium. RNAcentral's name for it is "partial 16S ribosomal RNA". It matches the Rfam family "Bacterial small subunit ribosomal RNA", at positions 28 to 526 of the family's 1533-position model. The record is from RNAcentral.
GACGAACGCUGGCGGCGUGCCUAAUACAUGCAAGUCGACCUUAGUGGCGAACGGGUGAGUAACACGUGGGUAACCGGCCCAUCAGAAGGGGAUAACACUUGGCAACAGGUGCUAAUACCGUAUACUGAUGGAUGGACCCGCGGUGCAUUAGCUAGUUGGUGAGGUAAAGGCUCACCAAGGCCACGAUGCAUACCCGGACUGGGAGGGUGAUCGGCCACAGUGGGACUGAGACAAGGCCCAAACUCCUAAGGGAGGCAGCAGUGGGGAAGCUUGGGCAAUGGACGAAAGUCUGACCCAGCAACGCCGCGUGAGUGAAGAAGGUAUUCGGAUCGUAAAACGCUGUUGUUAGAGAAGCGGUAUCUAACGAAGAAGCAACGGCUAACUACGUGCCAGCAGCCGCGGUAAUAC